This 1037-nucleotide unclassified non-coding RNA is filed under the name Hevea brasiliensis (rubber tree). The record is from RNAcentral. Lineage: Eukaryota; Viridiplantae; Streptophyta; Magnoliopsida; Malpighiales; Euphorbiaceae.
GAAAACUCUCAAACAAAUUGAAAGAGAGAACAUUUCAAGUUGUGAUCUCUUUGAUCAGCCACUCUAAAGCAGGAUAGGCAAAGUACAAUACUAGGAAAGAUGGGAGUCCAAAGAGGAUUGUGAUCAGUAAGUAGAGCGCUAGGACGGCUGCACACGAAGGUAUUGCAAACAUAACAAGCAGAAGAAGCACGAGAACUAACGGAAACUUGGAUGUAAUGCGGAUAAAGAGAUCGAGGGACUUGUGAAGAGAAGAGUGGGCCCUCUGGGAUGCAGGUGUACCACUAGUAUGAUUAUAAGUACUGGUGCUUGAUCCUUGAGAUCCUAGACGACGAACCCUCCUAUAAUUCAUGACAGAGGUGUUGUUCCCCGUAACUGAAGUGCACCGGACGGACAUUUCUUGCUGAUGAUCCCUACAUAUGGUAGAUGAAGAUUUCCCCCUGUCACCAUUUUUGCUUUCCACCAUCCAGAGGAGGAAGAAAUUCUUGCUAGGAGAUUUGAGAUUCCCGCUCAAGGACAACCGAAAUGUCAGCAUAUUGCACCAUGGGCAGGAAAUGAAUAAUGGAAUCUGGACCUGUUGAGUGGAGAACUUCCAAGAAGCUGAUUUAAGCCCCAACAGACAGUGCUUGCAAAGUGUGUGGCCGCACCACAAGACAUAGGGGAUGUUUUCGACAAUGUUAAAAGACUCCCAGCAUAUAGGGCAUUCAAGCCCUUCUUCCUCGCUGCUGGCAUUAGAAUAGGCAUCAUCGUCAUCUGAGAAUUCACGGCAAGCUUGACUGGGCGCACCACAUUCCUUCUUCUGUCCAAAGCUUGUGAUGGCAUUUGAAAUAGAUCUCCACAUAUCAGGGGCAACUUAAAUCGCUAUUGCUGAUAAUUACUUGAGUUUGGAACUUGGCAUGUACUUGAAAGAUGAACCACUGACCUUCAAAGGAGCAUCUUGGUUCAAUCUUAAAAAUUUCUUGCUUCUCUUCUGAACCUGAAUUACAUUGUACAGAAGGAUGGAAAAAGAAAAGAGAGAUCAGAAGAGAAAUGCAUUCUCU